UACGGAGGGUGCGAGCGUUGUUCGGAAUUAUUGGGCGUAAAGCGCGUGUAGGCGGCUCCUUAAGUCUGAUGUGAAAGCCCUGGGCUCAACCCGGGAAGUGCAUUGGAAACUGGGGAACUUGAAUACGGGAGAGGGUAGUGGAAUUCCUGGUGUAGGAGUGAAAUCCGUAGAUAUCAGGAGGAACACCGGUGGCGAAGGCGGCUGCCUGGACCGAUAUUGACGCUGAGACGCGAAAGCGUGGGGAGCAAAC
This 250-nucleotide ribosomal RNA is filed under the name uncultured bacterium. RNAcentral's name for it is "partial 16S ribosomal RNA". It matches the Rfam family "Bacterial small subunit ribosomal RNA", at positions 524 to 773 of the family's 1533-position model. The record is from RNAcentral.